This 380-nucleotide unclassified non-coding RNA is filed under the name uncultured Rickettsiales bacterium. Its description in RNAcentral is "contains 16S-23S intergenic spacer region". The record is from RNAcentral. Lineage: Bacteria; Pseudomonadati; Pseudomonadota; Alphaproteobacteria; Rickettsiales.
UCCGGCUUAUCACCGGCAGUUUCCUCAGAGUUCUCAGCAUUACCUGUUAGCAACAGAGGAUGAGGGUUGCGCUCGUUGCGGGACUUAACCCAACAUCUCACGACACGAGCUGACGACAGCCAUGCAGCACCUGUGCAUCUCCCACCCGAGGUGAAGGAAUCCGUUUCCGGUUUCCAUAGAGAGCAUGUCAAAUCCUGGUAAGGUUCUUCGCGUUGCCUCGAAUUAAACCACAUGUUCCACCGCUUGUGCGGGUCCCCGUCAAUUCCUUUGAGUUUUAGCCUUGCGGCCGUACUUCCCAGGCGGAGUGCUUAGCGCGUUAGCUGCGCCACUGAAGGGUAACCCUCCAACGGCUAGCACUCAUCGUUUAGGGCGUGGACUAC